Molecule: ribosomal RNA, 253 nt
Filed under: uncultured bacterium
Lineage: Bacteria
Description: partial 16S ribosomal RNA
Rfam family: Bacterial small subunit ribosomal RNA
Source: RNAcentral
GACGAACCGUGCGAACGUUGUUCGGAUUCACUGGGCUUAAAGGGCGCGUAGGCGGACUCGCCAGUCUGUGGUGAAAGCCCCCAGCUUAACUGGGGAAGUGCCGUGGAUACUGCGAGUCUGGAGGAGGGUAGGGGCAUCUGGAACGCUGGGUGGAGCGGUGAAAUGCGCAGAUAUCAGGAGGAACACCGGUGGCGAAGGCGGGUCUCUGGGCCGAUAUUGACGCUGAGGAGCGAAAGCGUGGGGAGCGAACAGG